UGGGGAAUAUUGGACAAUGGGGGCAACCCUGAUCCAGCCAUGCCGCGUGUGUGAAGAAGGCCUUUUGGUUGUAAAGCACUUUAAGCAGUGAAGAAGACUCCAUGGUUAAUACCCAUGGACGAUGACAUUAGCUGCAGAAUAAGCACCGGCUAACUCUGUUCCAGCAGCCGCGGUAAUACAGAGGGUGCAAGCGUUAAUCGGAAUUACUGGGCGUAAAGCGAGCGUAGGUGGCUUGAUAAGUCAGAUGUGAAAGCCCCGGGCUUAACCUGGGAACGGCAUCUGAUACUGUUAGGCUAGAGUAGGUGAGAGGAAGGUAGAAUUCCAGGUGUAGCGGUGAAAUGCGUAGAGAUCUGGAGGAAUACCGAUGGCGAAGGCAGCCUUCUGGCAUCAUACUGACACUGAAGUUCGAAAGCGUGGGUAGCAAACA
This 427-nucleotide ribosomal RNA is filed under the name uncultured bacterium. RNAcentral describes it as "partial 16S ribosomal RNA". It matches the Rfam family "Bacterial small subunit ribosomal RNA", at positions 355 to 774 of the family's 1533-position model. The record is from RNAcentral.